GCGGGGAGACGGAGCCCGGGCAGAGGACCCGAACCACCUCUGGGACCCUCCACCAACCCAUGAAGCCUCUCUGCUUCCCCAUGAGACCGUACCGGCACCUGACCAGGGUCUGGAGACCUCCAGAGGUAACCACCAGUCAGCUCUGGGAGUUUGGGAUCACUAACUUAACCUGUCACUUCAGAGAGCUCAGACGUGGCCAGAGAGUCUGGGAGCUACACAGAGGAGGUGGCACCAGGAGGACUCUCCUGAUGACACUUUCUUCCUGCUUCUCAUGCAAUAUGAAAGCAGGUUCCAAAGUGCAGAGGGUCAGAGGUGACAGUUCCUGGCCGUGAAGUGGGAAUUUCAACCAGUCUCUCUGCAGACCAGUAAGGACCCAGGUGUGUCAUCCCACCUGCAGAAGGUGGGGACAAGUUAUAAACUCUCUGCUUUAAGGACAAGGGAAUAACUAUUGCCACAUAGAGGAGGAUGGUUAAGUCUUGAUGAAGGUAAAGCCUUAUCCUUAGCUUGCCCUGCAGCUCCCCACCAAAGCAGGUGUCUGGCUCUGCUUCCAGCUGACAGCUCCAGACAGGAGCCAGGUAAUGUCAGCAGGAGCAUCAGGCAGGCCUUGGCAGUGGUGGGCAAGCCUGGAUCCUCCGAGCCGGCAGCAGGUGGAGGAGGAGCUGGACACGGCAGCUCUUCUGUAGGAGCUGCAGCUGGUCCUGGGGCUGCAGAGCCCGAGGAGACAAGCAAUGGCACACGGGGAGAGCCGGGUAAGGGGGCUCUGAGCCACGGCUGGUGAGCUGCCCACGGGGUCGGGUUGAGCAGGUCAGGUUUCGGUUCCUAAGGGCUGGGGUUUGUUGUGCGUUUGUUGUCACCAUGACAGCCCUGUUGGGAUGGAGCAUGGUCCUUGGCCGCUCCCGCUGCUCCUCACGCAGCCCGGAAAAGGAAGCCCGGGAGGAGGCUGUGACUUGGUCCGCAGCCCACGGCACGGGCAGGAAUUGACAGGGAGGUUGCACAGGUCCUGUGAUGUGGUGGAGGAGCAUGCACACGGAUCAGUGCUCAGCUCGCCGGGGGACUUUCCCUUCUAAUCAGGGUCACGAUGUUCCCAGGCUGUCUCCUGCCCCAGGGACAUAAUGAGCUGAACACUCCAGCGCUCACCCCAGACACUGCGGGGCUCACACACGGCUGCAUCCCCGAGGUGCAGCUUCGGCUGCUGGGCUGGUUCCUGCUAGGACCGUGUCCUUCCCCCCACCCUCAGACGGGGUUCGGAGGGCUGUGACUGCUCAGGGUUCAGCUCAGAGACUGCACGAGGCCACAAGCACAACCUCCGGGCACCCUCUGUGCUCACCCUCAUCCCCUUUGCCCGUGUCUUCCCCCGAGGCUGGGCACCGCAGCCUCCCGGGACUCAUCCCGUUUCAGGAAUGAGUCUCUGGCUCGGCUGUGUCUGGGGUGGGAUGAGGUUAUGCGGGAACGCCGUUUCUCUAGCGCGAGUUGCUACAAAACAGAGGGAAGUGUUUCGGAGGUUGUGCAAUAUGUACACGGUCACCCCAGCAACAGCGUGUCCACAAGGCAUUAGCGGGGCUUAGCUGCGGCUGCUGAGCGGGGCGAUGGGGACCGGGCCGUGCCCGGUCCGUGCCCGGUC
Molecule: long non-coding RNA, 1621 nt
Organism: Cyanistes caeruleus (blue tit)
Lineage: Eukaryota; Metazoa; Chordata; Aves; Passeriformes; Paridae
Source: RefSeq, a predicted model, not a curated record